GACGGAGGGUGCUAGCGUUGUUCGGAAUCACUGGGCGUAAAGGGCGCGUAGGCGGCCUUGGAAGUCGGAUGGGAAAGCCCGGGGCUCAACCCCGGAACGGCAUCCGGGACUCUGAGGCUGGAGGCCGGAAGAGGAGGGUGGAAUACCCAGUGUAGAGGUGAAAUUCGUAGAUAUUGGGUGGAACACCGGUGGCGAAAGCGGCUCUCUGGUCCGGACCUGACGCUGAGGCGCGAAAGCGUGGGGAGCAAACAGGAUUAGAAACCCCCGUAGUCC
This 273-nucleotide ribosomal RNA is filed under the name uncultured bacterium. RNAcentral's name for it is "partial 16S ribosomal RNA". It matches the Rfam family "Bacterial small subunit ribosomal RNA", at positions 524 to 796 of the family's 1533-position model. The record is from RNAcentral.